AGGCGCGACACUGUGGAAUGCAGAUGGAGAAUUCUGUGCAAAUUAAAACCUUGAUAACUUUGCCUUCCGGUCAUGGAAUCGAGCUAGGAUUUUUUUGACGGCUGCAGAAUCAUGGGCCUCACCCUUGAGAGACUGGAUUUGGAGAGUUGGACCCCCAGAGAUUUUUCUAGAAAUUACUUACCAUAGGCCACGAAGCAGCGGUUGUUUCGACGAAACGUCGAAUAUCUGAGGGUCCACAACUGGUUUUCAACGAGGUGGUUAGUAUAGGGAUGGCACAUAGGACGUUAGGGUGGAUAGCUUAGACGAUGUCGGUGUCAAGCGCGUCGACUAACCGCGCCGUUAAG
This 344-nucleotide unclassified non-coding RNA is filed under the name Hevea brasiliensis (rubber tree). Lineage: Eukaryota; Viridiplantae; Streptophyta; Magnoliopsida; Malpighiales; Euphorbiaceae. The record is from RNAcentral.